This 351-nucleotide ribosomal RNA is filed under the name uncultured bacterium. Its description in RNAcentral is "bacterial SSU rRNA". It matches the Rfam family "Bacterial small subunit ribosomal RNA", at positions 160 to 507 of the family's 1533-position model. The record is from RNAcentral.
GGAUUAAUACCCCAUAAUAUAUUUGAUAAGGCAUCUUAUUAAUAUUAAAGCUUCGGCACUUGAUGAUGGGUGUGCGGCUGAUUAGAUAGUUGGCGGGGUAACGGCCCACCAAGUCUACGAUCAGUAGCUGAUGUGAGAGCAUGAUCAGCCACACGGGCACUGAGACACGGGCCCGACUCCUACGGGAGGCAGCAGUAAGGAAUAUUGGACAAUGGACGAAAGUCUGAUCCAGCCAUGCCCGCGUGAAGGAUUAAGGUCCUCUGGAUUGUAAACUUCUUUUAUAUGGGACGAAAAAAGGGCAUUCUUGUUCACUUGACGGUACCAUAUGAAUAAGCACCGGCUAACUCCGUG